ACAGUACAAACUGAGCAGGCCGGGGAAAUGUGCAUGUGUUGUACAUUGAUCUUUGGAGCCGGGUCGCCGAAGCGACAGUGGAUGAGACAUCCGCGGGACAGU
RNAcentral lists this non-coding RNA (102 nucleotides) under human gut metagenome. RNAcentral describes it as "NiCo riboswitch". It matches the Rfam family "NiCo (Nickel/Cobalt) riboswitch aptamer". The record is from RNAcentral.